AAUCUUCAGGGCGGGGCGCAAUUCCCCACCGGCGGUUACAGCCCGCGAGCCGAGCGGCUUAUGCUUGGCAGGAUUCGGUGAAAUUCCGAAGCCGACAGUAUAGUCUGGAUGAGAGAAGAUG
This 121-nucleotide non-coding RNA is filed under the name human gut metagenome. RNAcentral's name for it is "FMN riboswitch (RFN element)". It matches the Rfam family "FMN riboswitch aptamer (RFN element)". Rfam says of the family: The RFN element is a highly conserved domain that is found frequently in the 5'-untranslated regions of prokaryotic mRNAs that encode for flavin mononucleotide (FMN) biosynthesis and transport proteins. The record is from RNAcentral.